CCUACGGGUGGCAGCAGUGAGGAAUAUUGGUCAAUGGGAGAGAUCCUGAACCAGCCAAGCCGCGUGAGGGAAGACGGCCCUAUGGGUUGUAAACCUCUUUUGUCGGAGAACAAAACCCGGGACGUGUCCCGGACUGCGUGUAUCCGAAGAAAAAGCAUCGGCUAACUCCGUGCCAGCAGCCGCGGUAAUACGGAGGAUCCGAGCGUUAUCCGGAUUUAUUGGGUUUAAAGGGAGCGUAGAUGGGUUGUUAAGUCAGUUGUGAAAGUUUGCGGCUCAACCGUAAAAUUGCAAUUGAUACUGGCAGUCUUGAGUACAGUUGAGGUAGGCGGAAUUCGUGGUGUAGCGGUGAAAUGCUUAGAUAUCACGAAGAACCCCGAUUGCGAAGGCAGCUUACUAAACUGUGACUGACAUUGAUGCUCGAAAGUGUGGGUAUCAAACAGGAUUAGAUACCCGAGUAGUC
RNAcentral lists this ribosomal RNA (460 nucleotides) under uncultured bacterium. RNAcentral's name for it is "partial 16S ribosomal RNA". It matches the Rfam family "Bacterial small subunit ribosomal RNA", at positions 338 to 795 of the family's 1533-position model. The record is from RNAcentral.